CUCCGGGUGGCUCAGAUGGUAAAGAAUCUGUCUGUAAAGCAGGAGACCCAGGUUUGAUCCCUGGGUUGGAAA
Molecule: transfer RNA, 72 nt
Filed under: Ovis aries (sheep)
Lineage: Eukaryota; Metazoa; Chordata; Mammalia; Artiodactyla; Bovidae
Rfam family: tRNA
About the family: Transfer RNA (tRNA) molecules are approximately 80 nucleotides in length. Their secondary structure includes four short double-helical elements and three loops (D, anti-codon, and T loops).
Source: Rfam by way of RNAcentral